RNAcentral lists this long non-coding RNA (955 nucleotides) under Cricetulus griseus (Chinese hamster). Its description in RNAcentral is "lncRNA (ENSCGRG00000026022.1)". The record is from RNAcentral. Lineage: Eukaryota; Metazoa; Chordata; Mammalia; Rodentia; Cricetidae.
GUUUCUGGUUUCGGUUUCACUUUCGGCUUGCUGUACAGACUGCUGCCCACCAGCUGGCUAGGUCGCUCUAACAGAAAGACAGCAUGAGAACUGGGAGAGCUGAGAACAACUGUUGAACCAUGGAUGUAAUGAUCCCCUUCUUUCCAUCAGCAACAAUGGCAAAUCCUCUGUGCUGAAGACCACAUUUUCUCCCUGGAAAAAUGGAAAUGUUACUGUUUAGACACAGAUCCCUGAAAAAUGGAAUUUUAAUGCAUGUACAUCACAGAUUGUUGGUUUUCUACCCAAAAGCACUGUCCAUGAUUUCAAUAACAACAGGAGUGCAAACUGCAUGCCCCAGCUUGCCCAGAAAGUCAGUGUGGCCAUGUGUAAUGCACAAAAGUGCUGUGAAACAUCUCAAAGGGAUAAGCAUGUGGUUUGCCUGCCUUGUGACUCUGUGUCUCACAAUGGGAGUAACACAGCUUCAGCAAGCAAGUCACGGACAUGAUCACAGCACUGCCGUCCAGGACCUCAAGAUGUGCCUCAGAGAACUGCAGAAUCAGUGUCAUCACAGACAUCAUUAGUGACUGCGGCUGCUGCUGCUGCUGCUGCUGCAAAUCCUUGGACUGUGUAGGAGACAUGCAAGACAUUAUGUGUGGUGAACACCAGAACCGUGCUGGAAAUACAUCUUUGCACCAGACUGACAGAUGGUUUGUCAUAGUGCAGCAUUCCAGAAGACAGUAUGGCAAUAAGGAAGAUGCUUAGGAACUAAAUUAAUGACAACUCUUAGGACAGAAAGAAGGGAGGAAGAAGGAAUGGGAGAGAAGAAAGGAAGAAUAAAGGAAGGAAGAUAUAAAAAAUGAAGAAAAAGAGAGGGAGAGGAGAGACAUGUGGGGGAAGAAACCUUUCUCUGGUUGUGGUGGUGGUGUGGUGCUGGGUUUUUUGUUGUUCUCGUUUUUGUCUUUGUUUUCUAGGUGGU